GCCCGGAAACCCGCAUGGAUGCUGGAUUUCACUUGGGACUCAAAAUCCCCCACCGAAAGGUGUGCCGGUUCGAUUCCGGCCCCGGGCACCA
RNAcentral lists this transfer RNA (91 nucleotides) under Variovorax paradoxus. Its description in RNAcentral is "tRNA-Leu". The record is from RNAcentral. Lineage: Bacteria; Pseudomonadati; Pseudomonadota; Betaproteobacteria; Burkholderiales; Comamonadaceae.